This 460-nucleotide ribosomal RNA is filed under the name uncultured bacterium. RNAcentral's name for it is "partial 16S ribosomal RNA". It matches the Rfam family "Bacterial small subunit ribosomal RNA", at positions 338 to 795 of the family's 1533-position model. The record is from RNAcentral.
CCUACGGGAGGCAGCAGUGAGGAAUAUUGGUCAAUGGGCUUACGCCUGAACCAGCCAAGUCGCGUGAGGGAAGACUGCCCUAUGGGUUGUAAACCUCUUUUGUCAGGGAGCAACGCCGGCUACGUGUAGCCGGACUGAGAGUAACUGAAGAAAAAGCAUCGGCUAACUCCGUGCCAGCAGACGCGGUAAUACGGAGGAUGCGAGCGUUAUCCGGAUUUAUUGGGUUUAAAGGGUGCGUAGGCGGAAUGCCAAGUCGACGGUAAAAUCGCGGGGCUCAACCUCGCUCCGCCGUUGAAACUGGCGUUCUUGAGUGGGCGAGAAGUAUGCGGAAUGUGUGGUGUAGCGGUGAAAUGCAUAGAUAUCACACAGAACUCCGAUUGCGAAGGCAGCAUACCGGCGCCCAACUGACGCUGAAGCACGAAAGCGUGGGGAUCGAACAGGAUUAGAUACCCGAGUAGUC